CUCUGUUUCGAAAGACUCAGGGCGGAAGGAG
This is a non-coding RNA of Evansella cellulosilytica DSM 2522, 31 nucleotides long. The record is from Rfam. Lineage: Bacteria; Bacillati; Bacillota; Bacilli; Caryophanales; Bacillaceae.